RNAcentral lists this transfer RNA (77 nucleotides) under Acinetobacter sp. T_3_1. Its description in RNAcentral is "tRNA-Asp". It matches the Rfam family "tRNA". Rfam says of the family: Transfer RNA (tRNA) molecules are approximately 80 nucleotides in length. The record is from RNAcentral. Lineage: Bacteria; Pseudomonadati; Pseudomonadota; Gammaproteobacteria; Moraxellales; Moraxellaceae.
GCAGCGGUAGUUCAGUUGGUUAGAAUACCGGCCUGUCACGCCGGGAGUCGCGGGUUCGAGUCCCGUCCGCUGCGCCA